This 460-nucleotide ribosomal RNA is filed under the name uncultured bacterium. RNAcentral describes it as "partial 16S ribosomal RNA". It matches the Rfam family "Bacterial small subunit ribosomal RNA", at positions 338 to 795 of the family's 1533-position model. The record is from RNAcentral.
CCUACGGGAGGCAGCAGUGAGGAAUAUUGGUCAAUGGACGAGAGUCUGAACCAGCCAAGUAGCGUGAAGGAUGACUGCCCUAUGGGUUGUAAACUUCUUUUAUAUGGGAAUAAAACGUUCCACGUGUGGGAUUUUGUAUGUACCAUAUGAAUAAGGAUCGGCUAACUCCGCGCCAGCAGCCGCGGUAAUACGGAGGAUCCGAGCGUUAUCCGGAUUUAUUGGGUUUAAAGGGAGCGUAGGUGGAUUGUUAAGUCAGUUGUGAAAGUUUGCGGCUCAACCGUAAAAUUGCAGUUGAAACUGGCAGUCUUGAGUACAGUAGAGGUGGGCGGAAGUCGUGGUGUAGCGGUGAAAUGCUUAGAUAUCACGAAGAACUCCGAUUGCGAAGGCAGUUCACUGGACUGCAACUGACACUGAGGCUCGAAAGUGUGGGUAUCAAACAGGAUUAGAUACCCGAGUAGUC